UAGAAUGUGGUGUAAUGUGGAAGCACGGAGAAUUUUGAAUUCUCAGGUACGGGUUCGAUUCCUGUAUUUCUAG
RNAcentral lists this transfer RNA (73 nucleotides) under Megatherium americanum. RNAcentral's name for it is "tRNA-Gln". It matches the Rfam family "tRNA". From Rfam's summary of the family: Transfer RNA (tRNA) molecules are approximately 80 nucleotides in length. Their secondary structure includes four short double-helical elements and three loops (D, anti-codon, and T loops). Lineage: Eukaryota; Metazoa; Chordata; Mammalia; Pilosa; Megatheriidae. The record is from RNAcentral.